This 497-nucleotide ribosomal RNA is filed under the name uncultured bacterium. RNAcentral's name for it is "partial 16S ribosomal RNA". It matches the Rfam family "Bacterial small subunit ribosomal RNA", at positions 28 to 507 of the family's 1533-position model. The record is from RNAcentral.
GAUGAACGCUGGCGGCGUGCCUAAUACUUGCAAGUCGAGCGAACAGACGAGGAGCUUGCUCCUCUGACGUUAGCGGCGGACGGGUGAGUAACACGUGGAUAACCUACCUAUAAGACUGGGAUAACUUCGGGAAACCGGAGCUAAUACCGGAUAACAUGUUGAACCGCAUGGUUCAACAGUGAAAGACGGUCUUGCUGUCACUUAUAGAUGGAUCCGCGCCGCAUUAGCUAGUUGGUAAGGUAACGGCUUACCAAGGCAACGAUGCGUAGCCGACCUGAGAGGGUGAUCGGCCACACUGGAACUGAGACACGGUCCAGACUCCUACGGGAGGCAGCAGUAGGGAAUCUUCCGCAAUGGGCGAAAGCCUGACGGAGCAACGCCGCGUGAGUGAAGAAGGUCUUCGGAUCGUAAAACUCUGUUAUUAGGGAAGAACAAAUGUGUAAGUAACUAUGCACGUCUUGACGGUACCUAAUCAGAAAGCCACGGCUAACUACGUG